This 780-nucleotide long non-coding RNA is filed under the name Homo sapiens (human). Its description in RNAcentral is "HSALNT0323976". Lineage: Eukaryota; Metazoa; Chordata; Mammalia; Primates; Hominidae. The record is from RNAcentral.
AGCAUUUGCCAGCUGGAAAAUGUGAAGACAUUCUAGGCAGAGGGAACCGCUGGGGCCAGGUCAGACAGCUGUGAAAGGCUGCAUUUUCUGGGAACCCUACAGCUGUCCCGAAGGCUAACAAGGUGUUUUGAGGCAGGUGGAUGAAAUAAGACAAACUGCAGGGGAAUUCCCCACUUUGUGGGGAGGGAAGAGAGAUUUCCCUGAUGAGGUCAGGCUAGGACAUGAGUCGCAUGGGGCAGCCAUUUUGGAAGGAAGACAUUUGUCCACGUGGAAGCUGUAAUUCAAAAUGUGGACUUCAGCAAGAGGAAACACCUAGCUCUCUCUUGAAUCCGGGUUUCAAGAAGCACUCACCAGAUAGCUGCACAUCAGACUGCAGGUGUAUCCUCAAAACUCAGAGCAGAGUCUGGCAUAUGUUGAAUCUGAAGAUGAGGACCUCAAGAAUACAGAGGGCUGACUGCACUGACAAAACUCAGUGGAAACCUCUGGAAGAUUUGAUGGUAGAUGGUUUUAUCAUCUGCAGCUGUUCACUCCUCCACUGUGUCAGAGAGGAUUAGACAUCCCUGUUCAUUGCAGGUGACCUCACAUCACCCCCAUAAACGGGGGCAGGUUGUGCUUCCACACCUUGUUGUCAGCCCGGGCCAAUGGAAUCUGAGCAGAUGUGACUUACACCAGGAUGAGCAGAAGCUUCAAUGUGAUUGCCUGCUGUGAUGGCCAAUUUUAGGUGUCAACUUGACUGGGCUAAGGGAUGCCCAGAUAGCUGGUAAAACAUGCUUGCAGGGU